AAGUCGUAACAAGGUUUCCGUAGGUGAACCUGCGGAAGGAUCAUUACCGAGUGCGGGCCCUCUGGGUCCAACCUCCCAUCCGUGUCUAUCUGUACCCUGUUGCUUCGGCGUGGCCACGGCCCGCCGAAGACUAACAUUUGAACACUGUCUGAAGUUUGCAGUCUGAGUUUUUAGUUAAACAAUAAUUAAAA
This 191-nucleotide unclassified non-coding RNA is filed under the name plant metagenome. Its description in RNAcentral is "partial contains small subunit ribosomal RNA and internal transcribed spacer 1". The stretch from base 1 to 46 matches the Rfam family "Eukaryotic small subunit ribosomal RNA", at positions 1786 to 1831 of the family's 1831-position model. The record is from RNAcentral.